AUACGUAGGAUCCGAGCGUUGUCCGGAUUUACUGGGCGUAAAGGGUGCGUAGGCGGCGUGGUAAGUCUCAUGUGAAAUCUCCCGGCUCAACUGGGAGGGGUCAUGGGAUACUGCCAUGCUCGAGGGCAGUAGAGGAGAGCGGAAUUCCGGGAGUAGCGGUGAUAUGCGUAGAUACCCGGAGGAACACCCGUGGCGAAAGCGGCUCUCUAGGCUGUACCUGACGCUAAGGCACGAAAGCGUGGGGAGCAAACCGGAUUAGAAACCCUGGUAGUCC
Molecule: ribosomal RNA, 274 nt
Filed under: uncultured bacterium
Lineage: Bacteria
Description: partial 16S ribosomal RNA
Rfam family: Bacterial small subunit ribosomal RNA
Source: RNAcentral